This 64-nucleotide transfer RNA is filed under the name Argulus japonicus. RNAcentral describes it as "tRNA-Met". The record is from RNAcentral. Lineage: Eukaryota; Metazoa; Arthropoda; Ichthyostraca; Arguloida; Argulidae.
UUAAAAGUAAGCUAAAUUUAAGCUAAUGGGUUCAUACCCCAUGAAUGGAAUCAUCCCUUUUAAA